AUGAAGCGGGAGGACACACUCCUGUGUGAGUGUUGGAGGGACAUUGGACAAGACUGCAGGUUCGGCCCCGAGCAAAAGGCAUCCACCUUUUGGCUACGUGUUCAUCAUCAAUUUCAUGAAAGCAAGAAGUUCGCGCCGUACCAAAUGGAGAGCAAGCGCGGGUGGGUGUCCCUCUCGAAGCGGUGGACGGGGAUACGACAAGAGUGCAACAAGUUUUGCGCCACCCUCGAGAGCAUCGAGGGAAGCGAAGAUGCUCGAAAUUGA
RNAcentral lists this ribosomal RNA (264 nucleotides) under Triticum aestivum (bread wheat). RNAcentral describes it as "partial small subunit ribosomal RNA". The record is from RNAcentral. Lineage: Eukaryota; Viridiplantae; Streptophyta; Magnoliopsida; Poales; Poaceae.